CUCUGCUUUCACCUUCCCCUCUCUCUUCUCUCCCACUCUUUCAGCUCUUUAUUUAUUCCCUUUGUCUCUCCAGCCCCACCUUAACUCCGUUGUUAGUUUUCCUUUGUUAUAUACUCCUUCUCUUUUCCAAUCAUACCUUUACCGCCAUAUGUUUGGUUGAACCUUCAACCUCGACAGUGUCCUCCUUGGCGCCGGAAGACUCCAGCUUGUUGUAUUGUAGCGGGUAGGUAAACUGGGGCACCCAGGGGGAAAGAGAGG
Molecule: non-coding RNA, 258 nt
Organism: Pelobates cultripes (western spadefoot toad)
Lineage: Eukaryota; Metazoa; Chordata; Amphibia; Anura; Pelobatidae
Source: the annotation of a GenBank genome assembly